RNAcentral lists this ribosomal RNA (492 nucleotides) under uncultured bacterium. RNAcentral's name for it is "partial 16S ribosomal RNA". It matches the Rfam family "Bacterial small subunit ribosomal RNA", at positions 30 to 507 of the family's 1533-position model. The record is from RNAcentral.
AGUGAACGCUGGCGGUAGGCCUAACACAUGCAAGUCGAACGGCAGCACAGUACGAGCUUGCUCUUCCGGGUGGCGAGUGGCGGACGUGUGAGGAAUACAUCGGACUCUACUUUUUCGUGGGGGAUCACGUAGGGAAACUUACGCUAAUACCGCAUACCACCUACGGUUGAAAGCAUGGGAUCUUCUGACCUUUCGCGAUUGAAUGAGCCGAUGUGGGGUUAGCUAGUUGGCGGGUUAAAGGCCCACCAAGGCGACGAUCCGUAGCUGGUCUGAGAGGAUGAUAGGCCACACUGGAACGGGGACACGGACAAGAAGACUAAGGGAGGGAGCAGUGGGGAAUAGUAGGCAGAGGGGGCAAGAAUGAUACAGCGAGACCGAGUGGGUGAAGAAGGCGUUCGGGGUGGAAAGACCUUUUUUGGGGAAAGAAAAGCAGCAGGUUAAGACCCAGCGGGUGUGACGGUAACGAAAGAAGAAGCACCGGCUAACUUCGUG